Oryctolagus cuniculus (rabbit) is the source of this 5152-nucleotide non-coding RNA. The record is from RefSeq and is a predicted model, not a curated record. Lineage: Eukaryota; Metazoa; Chordata; Mammalia; Lagomorpha; Leporidae.
GAACUGCAGCCAGGCGCUCGCACGGGGGCGGGGCAGGGUCCCUCCAGAGCGCCUGCGCUAAACCCGCUUCUCGGCGCCAUUUUGUCCUGGCAGCGGUGGCCGCGGCUCUACCGCAUUUUGUGUUUGUGGACCGAAGGGCUAGGCGUCUUCCUCCGGUAGGUCGACUUCAGUGCGGCACGCGUCCACCUGCCCGUCCAGGGCAGCUCCGAGUGGAGGUCGGAGGACUCGCAGAGCAGUCUCGAAGGGCAGUGGGCAGCCGCGGGUGUCCGAGCGGCUGGGGGAUGGCGCAGCUGCAGAGGCGCUAGCACCGGAAGUGGAGGGGCUGGAGGCGGCCAUGGCCGAAUUAAGACUGAUUUUGUGGAACAGUGAAGCAAGAUGUUACAGUUGACUUGAGAUGCUUUCUGUUGAAGAUUCUGUUUCUGGUUUCUUCAUGAAGGAUGGGAAUAAAUGCAAAUGGAAAAUCAGGUAAGUGCUCUUAUAGUCUUAUCUGGAAUCUCCGAAUCAAAACAUUGUUCUUUAAACCUUUUUAUUUUCAGGUAACAGUAUCAGUAGUUACUAUAGUAAGGCACUCAAUUCUUAAGUUCUGUAUUCAUGUCAGUAAAAUGUACCAACUGUUCCUUUUGCCCAGAGGCAGCCACAUCUCAACAACAGCCACAGUGUUGCCCCUAAAUUUAUUAAUCUCUGUGUGGUGUGUAUGACCAUUAACUGUUGUCUUUCAUAGUAGCUGUAGAGCUAGGGUUGUGUGUGUGUGUAUUUCAGAUAGUUUAAAUUUGGCCUGGAUGUUCCAAUUCGAACCAGUUUUAUUUUCUAAAGAGUUCUGUCAGGUAUAAUAAGAACUUAGUUAAGUUACACUCAGGACACAGUAAGAGGAUUCAUACUUUAGCCAUUCCUAUACUUCACUAACUGGAGACAAACUUUUCUGUCUUUAAUUAAAUUCAGAUGUUUUUCCAAGGCUGGUACUUUUAUCAUUCUCAGGUAGAUGUGAAUUUUAAAACGUAGUUGGCAAUUUUAUAUAAAAAACUACGGUAAUGAAAUUCUAGUUUUUCAGUUGAUUCUAUAGCAGCCAUCCUAUUCAGGCAUAAUUUGCUAAACGGCAUACAUGCUCAAAGUCCAGCAGUAUGCUACAGUUAACUCAGUGAUGAGAUUACCUUCUUAGGAAAGCCUAAGCAUGAGCCCAAUAAGGGUGUGUGUAGCUAGCCUGAAUUCAGGCUGUUUGUUCCUCCUUUUAGUACUGCUGUUGAGGUUAUGACAGCUGUUUAUUGGUCCUUAAAAUCCACGCCUCACCACAAAAAAAUGAAAGUACCCAUGACUGGCAUGUUUGAUAGUUGCUUUUGAAAAAAAACUAUCACAAACUGAUUUUUAAGAGAUUAAUUUAUUUGAAAGAGCAGCAUGCCACAGAGAAAUCUGCUGCUUCAUUCCCCAAAUAGUCGAAACAGUUAGGCCUGGGCCAGGCUGAAGCCAGGAGGUAAGAAUUCCAUCUGGAUUUUCCUACCAGGGCCUAACUGCUUGAGCCAUCUUCUACUAUCUUCCCAAGCACAUUAGCAGGGGGCUGGAUCAGCGGUGGAGCAGCCAGGACUCAAACCAGCACUCAAUGGGACAACCUGUUUGUUGUGCCUCACUCUGCCCCUCCUUCCCCCUGCAAACUGAAAUUCUGUAUCACAUCUACAGUUUUAACUGUGGCUGGUGAUCAACCAUCAUUUUACUAAAUUAUUUAUGUGGGUAACACAUGGAUGCUCCUAGUGAAGCCCAGCAAAAAUGAGAUUUUUUAAAGGGAUGGAAUGGGGCUUUAAGUUUGAUCCAAAGCCUCUAUUUGCAAUAUUUUAACUAAGGAAUUUUUAAGUAGCAUAUACCUUUAUUUCAAUAUAAAUGUUCUCAAUCCCACCCAUUUUGUCAAACAGAUAGUAACCAAACUUCAGUAGUUACAAGACAAAAAUUUAAUGAAAAUUGAUCAGUGGGUUAUUUAUAAUCCACAGGCUAAAUAUCACAAGACGGUAGUAGAAAGAUGCGGAAGUAAUUGUUACAUAUUGUCAUCAUCUGAUUCAUCUUCUUCCUUCAAAGAUUCCUAUUAAGAGAAAAAAGUAGCACUUAAAAUCAACUUUAAAUAUUGUUACAGCCCACAUGUAACAGCAAGUUAAGAUACAGUAACCUGAAUUUAAGCAUUUAUUAAUGGUAACUGAAAUUUAGGAUGAAAUUCAACUAUAUUCUUGUUCUGAAGAUCAAUGGAUACUUGAUGUAUCCUGAAAAACCUUACAGUUUUCCCCAAGGGAAGAGUUGAAUUUGGAAAUGUGUUACUUAAUUUGUUAAGUAACAAUACAUCAUUUUGGUUAGGUGACUUACCUUAGCAUAUUUCUCUGCUUCUUCUCUUACAUCUUUUGGAACAAUUUCAUGCCUUCCUUUAGUUACUGUAAAUUAAGCCAUAUAUUUAAAUAAAUUUAAAAUGCUUUCCUAUAAGUGAUAGUCAUUUGACCUUAUUUUUUAAAUGUUUCCUCAUGAGAUUUUAUGUGCUCAAAUUUUUAUAAAUUAAUCCCAAGCAUUAAUUCAUAGCAUGAGAUCAAUUUUGGGCGAUUUCUUAGAUAUUUCAAAAGAGAUCUUCACAAACUCUGUUAAAUACACAGAAAUUACUUACAUUCACCAACCCAGCUGAGCUCUAACUCAAAAGCUUUAUCCUUAACUUCAUCAUGCACUAUGUAAAUUCUAGAAGGAAAAAACACUGGAGUCAGUGACCAAAACACUGCAGUUUACAUACCCAGUCAGUACAAAUUAGAUUACCAUCCGUACCACAAGUUAAAAUUAUGUAGGCUGAAAUCUGAAUUACGAAUAUCAGAAUAAGCUACAGAGGACUUGAAAUAGACUGGAACACUUUCAUUCUCCUCAUAAAUACUAAAUGAUAAUUUGUUUGGCUUAUUUUGAUAUACAUUGCUUAAAAGCCAUAAAAAUCAUCUCAAGAAUACAGAAAUGGGUAAAGUCAGGGUCACCACCUGAAGCCAGUAAUGGGCAGGCAGCAGGUUCAUGUCCCAGCUGCUUCACUCCAACCAAGCUCCCGGACAUGAGAAAACCAAUGGAAGAUGGUUCACUACACAGAAGACCCAGAUGAAGUUCCUGGCUUGAGCCUGGCCCACCACUGGCUGUUGCAGCCGUCUGGGGAGUAUAAAUCAGCACGUGGAAAAUAGUCUCAUUUGUAACUCUUGAAAUAAAUCUUUAAAAACUUAAACAUAAAUGGGAACCAGGCCAUCAUUAACCAUCCCUUCUCAGGACACUAUUUUCUUUCAUUAAGGAAAUAAAGCCUAAUAAUUUAUGUGCCCUAUAUAAGAACUUUUAUUACAUAUCCGAAAAAGUAAAGCCUAUAUUUUUAUAUAAGUGAGCCAGCCUUAUGGAUCAUGUAUAGAAAUAAUUAACUUGUAAAUCACACGAUAAAUAAAGUUUCUAAGCUUUCUUGGUAGUGUUUUGAUUAUUGUUAUUUUGGGGAUGUUGAGAGAUUUGAGGUGGUGGAAGUUAACAAAUGAAGCCCCUACGAACAUUCACUAUGUCCUUCACGCGUUAAAUCCCGUUGCCCACACAGGAGCUUGUUUUCUCAGCAUUCAUUCUCAUUCUUGAAAUACUCAUUUUCUUCAUGAGGAUUCUUAGAAUGUUAAAUUCUCUUCAAAAAAUUACACACUGCUAUUUUCAACCAAAAUAGCCUCAUAUAUAUGCCAAGACAAUGUGAAAUAUCUUUGUGGAUAGUUAAGGAAUAUUUGAACUUACAUUUUGGCAACUUCUUUAACAACAUCACGGCAGGUCAUUUCUUUCAUCUACAGAAAAUAAAAUUAUACAUUUUCCAUUUGUGUAACUGCACAACUGUUAGCACUAACUCAUGGUCAAGAUAGAUUCUCAGAUGUAAAAACAAAGAAAUUCCAAAAAGAUAAAUUUCCUGAUUUUUAUUAUUAUUUUUAAAUUAACAUGCCAAAAUUCAUAUUGGAGAUAACCACUAAUUUUCUGGUAAAACUUAGAUAAGCCCAAGUCUAAUUCUUAAGUAGACCCAGAGCAAAAGCUUGGUCAUACUAGAAUUCAACAUACUUGGAGGGACUGUUGGGAAAUCAGAAUAGAAAAAUAGCCUGUAAGCACUAACCAUAACAAGUAAAGUAACCUGUAAGAAAUCACUGCAAGAGAUUUAUUAAUCAUACACGUUUCAGGGUCAACGCAAAGUCUGAGCAAAGUGACAUUUGUGUUGUGGAUACCUUGAGAUAGAGAACGUCAGAGAGUACUGAACACAGUAAUCCAGACUUAAAUGUCGUUCAAUUACUGCAAAUGGGGUUCAUGAUUUUUACUAAUUCAUUUUAGAAAUCCUAAAGUUCAAAUGAUAGCUGUACAACCAUCUGAGGAAGAAAAACACAACCCUAACACUGAGUUUAAGGAUACAAAUCUUGGGGCUGGCAUUGUGGUAAGGCAGGUUGAUCUGUUGCCUGCAACACUGGCAUCCCAUAUGGGUGCUGGUUCAAGUCUUGGCUGCUGUACUUCACAUCAGCUCCCUGCUAAUGCACCUGGGGAAAAGGUGCAAGAUGGGUCAGGUGCUUGGGUGCCUGCACCCAAGUGGGACACCUGGAAGUUCCUGGCCCAGCCCCAGACAUUGCAGACACUUGGGGAAUUAACCACCAGAUGGAACAUGGAUCUCUGUCCAUCUUGAAACACUGCCUUUCAAAUAAAUAAAUCUUUUGUCUCAGAACAGCACGUUGGUACAACCGCAAAAGCAACAUAAAAUAUUCUGUGAGGACAAAGGGUAGUUUAAAAGAGAUGUAAAAUAAGAAAUUCAAUGUGAACCUUGAUAGUAUAGUUCAAAGUUAAAGACACUGUGGAGACUGAGGCAGUUCAGUUAUGGAAUAUAAGAUGAUGCUUUAAGUAUGAUAUGGUAUGGUAUUAAAAGGAGAUGAGUGAUGAUGCACUCAGAUUCAGUGUCACCGCUGCAACUUCUCAUAGUUUAGGGGAAAAAACAAAUGGAUAAAAUAUAGGGAAAAGUCUAAAUAGACUUGUAACAUUCUUAGCAUUAAUCAGUUAUACUUUUUCCAUUCUAAACUAGAGGUAAAAGGAAGGGAAACAGUACUUUCCUAUUUUUGCAAGUCUGUUGUAGUGUCAAGGCAGCCACAGAUUAAACAGUAAAUGCAGUUGUGUUCCAAAAGAA